GGAGUGAUGGAGGUAGAUAUGUAUAGGGGGAAGGGGACAGGGAUACUGGAGUGAUGGAGGUAGAUAUGUUUAGGGGGAAGGAGACAGGGAUACUGGAGUGAUGGAGGUAGAUAUGUAUAGGGGUAAGGAGACAGGGAUACUGGAGUGAUGGAGGUAGAUAUGUAUAGGGGGAAGGAGACAGGGAUACUGGAGUGAUGGAGGUAGAUAUGUAUAGGGGUAAGGGGACAGGGAUACUGGAGUGAUGGAGGUAGAUAUGUAUAGGGGUAAGGGGACAGGGAUACUGGAGUGAUGGAGGUAGAUAUGUAUAGGGGGAAGGAGACAGGGAUACUGGAGUGAUGGAGGUAGAUAUGUAUAGGGGGAAGGAGACAGGGAUACUGGAGUGAUGGAGGUAGAUAUGUAUAGGGGGAAGGGGACAGGGAUACUGGAGUGAUGGAGGUAGAUAUGUAUAGGGGGAAGGAGACAGGG
This 465-nucleotide long non-coding RNA is filed under the name Salmo salar (Atlantic salmon). RNAcentral describes it as "lncRNA (ENSSSAG00000082170.1)". The record is from RNAcentral. Lineage: Eukaryota; Metazoa; Chordata; Actinopteri; Salmoniformes; Salmonidae.